Long non-coding RNA from Quercus lobata, 373 nucleotides. RefSeq lists it as uncharacterized. The transcript has 2 exons. Lineage: Eukaryota; Viridiplantae; Streptophyta; Magnoliopsida; Fagales; Fagaceae. The record is from RefSeq and is a predicted model, not a curated record.
AAAAGAAAACAGAUGUUGCGUUCUCUCUCUCGUUCUUUCAAUUCAGAGGCAAUGUCAACGAAGAUGAUGCUCGAGACUGCUUCCAUGAAGUUCAAGAUUGGCAAGGCAUGAUAUGCAAAGAAGAUGGCAAACGUCUGGGAGACGCUCGCAGAAGAAACCAACACAUGUGAAAGAUGGCAGCUGAAGUAUUUGGCUGUAAAUUUUUUUUCUUCUUCAGACAUUCCUUUCUACUUUUUCCCUGUAUUUGGCUGGAAUUUUCAAAUAGCUUAUAAAGUUGAGUUGACUUCAUAUCCUUCUUUGGGCUAAUAUAGUUGUCCAUAUCCUCCAUUGUGGAUGUAUUCAUUAUUCAAUAGAGAAAAGUAUUUGCGAUUUA